GAGGUUUGGCACCUCGAUGUCGGCUCAUCGCAUCCUGGGGCUGUAGUCGGUCCCAAGGGUUGGGCUGUUCGCCCAUUAAAGCGGUACGCGAGCUGGGUUCAGAACGUCGUGAGACAGUUCGGUCCCUAUCCGUCGUGGGCGCAGGAAAUUUGAGAGGAGCUGUCCUUAGUACGAGAGGACCGGGAUGGACGCACCGCUGGUGUACCAGUUGUCUUGCCAAAGGCAUCGCUGGGUAGCUAUGUGCGGACGGGAUAAGUGCUGAAAGCAUCUAAGCAUGAAGCCCCCCUCAAGAUGAGAUUUCCCAUUCGUAAGAAGUAAGAUCCCUCAGAGACGAUGAGGUAGAUAGGUCUGAGGUGGAAGCGUAGCGAUACGUGGAGCUGACAGAUACUAAUCGAUCGAGGGCUUAACCA
RNAcentral lists this ribosomal RNA (410 nucleotides) under Schinkia azotoformans MEV2011. RNAcentral describes it as "bacterial LSU rRNA". It matches the Rfam family "Bacterial large subunit ribosomal RNA", at positions 2513 to 2925 of the family's 2925-position model. Lineage: Bacteria; Bacillati; Bacillota; Bacilli; Caryophanales; Bacillaceae. The record is from RNAcentral.